CCUAGACUAUGGGUCAUAUCUCAUUUCGAUGAUCCAUCUUUUAAUUUUAUCAAUUAAAUAAUUAAACUAUUAAUUUUUUUCACUUCUAUUCAAUUGAACCUGCCACGUCACCAAUUGAUGACGUGGCUCUCUAAGUAGGCCAUAGUGCAGCUGAUGUGUUCAAAAAAAAAUUAUUUUAAUAUCUACUUACACAUUCAUUAUACAUCAAAGGGCAAAUUCGGCAACUCACUUUAUAUUAAACAUUAAAAUUAAAUAAAAACAACUAAUUCUCGGCUGAGAAAUCCCAAUUUCCGGCGACAAACAAUGCCAUUUAAUUAGCUGAUCUUCUUCCUCCUUGCCUGCUGUGCCAACAAAGAAGCAUCACCUUUACUUUAUGACCAAAACCAACUGACACAAUCAUCACCUAUCUAAGAUCAAACCUCAAAAUUUGGAAAAACCAAAAACUCAAAAUUCCUUUAACCUAAAAACUAGACAAUUUCCAGUCCCAGAUCACUUUCUACACGAUCUUGUAUGUGAAAUCUUCUUCCAUGCCCAAAAUACCCAAUUGGUAGCUCAAAAGAUCGCACCCAAUUGUUCGGAAAUCACACGCAAACGAAAUGGAAAAAACUGAAAAAGGAAAAUGGAAGGGCCGAAGCCUUGCAUAUAUUUUUUAGGGGACUCACUUUAUUGAUUUUUUUUUUGUCUAAUCUCCGAUACCCAGUUCCAUGGAUGUGACUGGGUUGCUGCGGAUCUUGCAGUUCCCUCCCAUUUUUUACCCGAUCUGAUUUUUUGUUGCCGGAGAUUGAGUUCAUCCACCGGAGAUCGAGUCACCAAAUUCCUUUGUAGGUGACGCCUAAUUGAUUUGAGAAGGGAAAAAGUCAUCAGAAUCAAAACAAAAAUUUUCUUGUAUCAGUUUUUUAAUUAAAAAAACAAGAUCAGUGUGUUUAUAGUCGAAAGAUGAGAGAUAAUUGUUGGGAGAGAAUGGAUAGUGUUUCCGUGAAUGAUGAAGAUGAAUUGGUUCCGUAAAUGAUGAAGAUAAUUAGGGCGUUUGACGAAUUUGCCG
Molecule: long non-coding RNA, 1042 nt
Filed under: Panax ginseng (ginseng)
Lineage: Eukaryota; Viridiplantae; Streptophyta; Magnoliopsida; Apiales; Araliaceae
Description: long non-coding RNA (PGIN_LNC002422)
Source: RNAcentral